This 494-nucleotide ribosomal RNA is filed under the name uncultured bacterium. RNAcentral describes it as "partial 16S ribosomal RNA". It matches the Rfam family "Bacterial small subunit ribosomal RNA", at positions 28 to 507 of the family's 1533-position model. The record is from RNAcentral.
GACGAACGCUGGCGGCGUGCUUAACACAUGCAAGUCGAACGGUGAAGCGCCUUCCUUUUUGGUGGGUGUGGAUGAGUGGCGAACGGGUGAGUAACACGUGAGUAACCUGCCCCCUUCUUCUGGAUAACCGCAUGAAAGUGUGGCUAAUACGGGAUAUUCUGGGUCUGUCGCAUGAUGGGUCUGGGAAAGAUAUUGUUUCGGUGGGGGAUGGGCUCGCGGCCUAUCAGCUUGUUGGUGGGGUGAUGGCCUACCAAGGCGGUGCCGGGUAGCCGGCCUGAGAGGGUGGACGGUCGCACUGGGACUGAGACACGGCCCGGACUCCUAAGGGAGGCAGCAGUGGGGAAUAUCGCACAAUGGGCGCAAGCCUGAUGCAGCGCCGCCGCGUGAGGGAUGGAGGCCUUCGGGUUGUGAACCUCUUUCGCCAGUGAGGCAGGCCUGCCUCGUUUGUGGGUGGGUUGACGGUAGCUGGAUAAGAAGCGCCGGCUAACUACGUG